RNAcentral lists this ribosomal RNA (301 nucleotides) under uncultured bacterium. RNAcentral describes it as "partial 16S ribosomal RNA". It matches the Rfam family "Bacterial small subunit ribosomal RNA", at positions 509 to 807 of the family's 1533-position model. The record is from RNAcentral.
CAGUCGCCGCGGUAAUACAGAGGAUGCAAGCGUUAUCCGGAAUGAUUGGGCGUAAAGCGUCUGUAGGUGGCUUUUCAAGUCCGCCGUCAAAUCCCAGGGCUCAACCCUGGACAGGCGGUGGAAACUACCAAGUUGGAGUACGGUAGGGGCAGAGGGAAUUUCUGGUGGAGCGGUGAAAUGCGUUGAGAUCGGAAAGAACACCAACGGUGAAAGCACUCUGUUGGGCCGACACUGACACUGAGAGACGAAAGCUAGGGGAGCAAAUGGGAUUAGAUACCCGGGUAGUCCCUGUCUCUUAUAC